Molecule: ribosomal RNA, 199 nt
Filed under: uncultured bacterium
Lineage: Bacteria
Description: partial 16S ribosomal RNA
Rfam family: Bacterial small subunit ribosomal RNA
Source: RNAcentral
ACGCUCGACACCUACGGGAGGCAGCAGUCGGGAAUAUUGCGCAAUGGAGGAAACUCUGACGCAGUGACGCCGCGUAUGGGAAGAAGGUUUUCGGAUUGUAAACCAUUUUAGACAAGGAAGAAACAAGACAGUACUUGUAGAAUAAGCUCCGGCUAACUACGUCCCAGCAGCCGCGGUAAUCUGAGCGGGCUGGCAAGGC